GUCCUUCAGUUUUCAACGGCCAGCCCCUAUAUUGGGCAUGUCGAGCUUCGGCCCGACUAUGGAGAUAAACGCGCGCGUAAUAAGCGGACUGGACCCGGGUGCGAUUCCCGGCGGCUCCACCAACCUUCCUUCCGGGUAUCGCCGGGAAGCAUGGGGCCGAUCAGCAUCGACAGACGUCUAAAGGCGUUGCUUUCUCCCGGCUUGGCCCACCGUUUCGGGCCUUUAACUAACUGCGAACGAUAACUUCGCUGAGGAAAUCCGUCUCGCCGCGUAAUGCGGUGCGAUGAAAUUCCGACCUAAGUCCUAGGGGUUCAGAUCCUUAGGCGGGGCCCGGAGGGCGCCUGCCAACAGAAGCCCUCCACC
RNAcentral lists this transfer-messenger RNA (363 nucleotides) under Phenylobacterium hankyongense. RNAcentral's name for it is "Alphaproteobacteria transfer-messenger RNA". It matches the Rfam family "Alphaproteobacteria transfer-messenger RNA". From Rfam's summary of the family: Bacterial tmRNA, also known as 10Sa RNA or SsrA, is named for its dual tRNA and mRNA-like properties. Its role is to liberate the mRNA from a stalled ribosome. To accomplish this part of the tmRNA is used as a reading frame that ends in a translation stop signal. The record is from Rfam by way of RNAcentral. Lineage: Bacteria; Pseudomonadati; Pseudomonadota; Alphaproteobacteria; Caulobacterales; Caulobacteraceae.